ACACUGGCGGAGUUAGUUUUUUUUAUUGGAUUAUUUACUUUAUAUUUUUAGUUUAGUUUUAUACAUUUACAUCCCGCACUGAAUGUAAACCAGGGCGGAAAUCAGUUCCGGCGGCUUCGCGCAUGCGCGAUUCAUUUUCAGUCUGGACGCGGAGGGGUGAACAUCUCCUCUGACUGCUGCGAGAGGACUGGGCCGCAUGUGAGUGCUUUGGGACGGUGUGGGGCCCACGGCAGCACCCGCUGCUCGUUGAGAAGAGUAAGAACGAUACGUGCUUUCACGUCAGUCUCCAAUAACACCAGAAAAAGUCGCUAGAUUUGUCGCUAGUCGCUUUUUUGAAAAAGUCUCGCUAGAGGGGUCUGAAUACUCGCUAAAUAUAGCGACAAAGUCGCUAAGUUGGCAACACUGCCCACAUUAGCUAAACAUGAAUAUACUAUAACCACAUUUCAUAUGCGUGUAUUACUAGCACAGAUGUAAACAUAAUCAGAUAAGAGAGAUCGGUUCCCAAUUUAGCCUUAACAUUAAGGUCUAACGUUAACUUACACAGCGACAACUGCCUUGUUCAGGGGCAGAACGACAGAUGUUUACCUUGUCAGCCCGGGGAUUUGAUGUCGUUUACCGGCCCAACGCUGUAACCCACAAGGCUACUUGCCUCUCCUGAAACCACCUACUUUGGCCGAGAACCAAUCAACAGAAUCAGGGCAGAACCUUCAGUGGACCAGCAUGGGUUGAAGGGGGGUUCAAUAUGUCUGGUUGUUCCAGAACCUCCUGAGAUGAUCAAAGGACUUCAAUGGAGGAAGGACAGUGAUGUAAUAUUUGGAGACAAAGAGAUCUCUCCUAAAUACAAGGAUAAGGUGGACUAUAACAAUGAUAACCAUUCUCUGUGUAUUAAGAAUCUAAUGGAAACUGACAGUGGAAUUUACAUGGUAAACUACAGGAAACAUUGGAAACAAUCAACUACUACAUAUAGACUGUUAGUGGAGGAUCAUGUUCCCAAACCAGUCAUGGAUGUCACAUCUCUCAACACAAGUGUGGGACUCUGUGAUGUCACAGUGAACUGUUCAGUUAAAGAUGGCUGGAUGUUGUCUGUCUGUGACAGCGGUCAGUGUACACUGUCACAACAGUCUCCGUCACUAACCGGUGGUAACAUGACCAUCUCCGUAUUGACUGGAAGGAUCCAAUGCACCAGCAGCAACCACGUCAGCACACAGACCAUCUCUCAACCCAUGGAGGACUGUAGUGGUAAUGUGAAAGCCUCAGUGUUACCAGUUGGCACCAUUGUGGGCUGUGUUACUGGUAUAUUACUCCUAGUUGCUGUGUUACUUGGUGUUGGAUACAUCAAACAUACCAGAAGACAGAAAAUCCCUAAAGAACAAAGUCCACUAGAAGAGGUCAUUGUUCCAAGAGUUUACAACUCAGUGAAGACCUCACCAGGGAGAGAAGAACCACAGCAUCUCCUUACCAGAACCACAGCCCUGUCCUGACCAGAACCACAGCACUCUCCUGUCCAGAACCACAUCACUCUCCUGUCCAGAACCACAUAUAUAUACAUUUUUAUAUUCCAUUUCAUGGAAGUUUCUUUAUCCAUGAAAUGAAGUGGGUGGAGAACAAACCCCUCUUCACAUUGUUACAGAUAGAAUUGAACCAUUAUUUUGAAAUGAUCAGUAAAAGUGGAAAUACAAAAAAGCAAUAUGUAUCAUAAAAUGUUUUGACAAACUGAAAAUGUAUCUUGACAUGUAGUACCCGUCUGUUAGUUCUUCUCACUGGUGGAUUUGGUGGUAUCCUGUAUAGCUUCCUGCAUUUACUCCCAGCAAGCACAAAACCCUUCAUAGAGUUGGUCCAUACUGACUGUCUCUGUCAUUUUGAGGGAAAACACCUGCUCCAGAUCAGUGAAGGAGAGGUUUUGUUGCAUGUUUAUCCAUAUUUCGUUGAUAUGCCAAACCGAGAGAACAACAACAGAAAUUACUUUGCAGGAAUUGGCGUGUUUACUGUGAUUUGAUGAAUAUACGGGACAAGGGAGGUCCCGUAUGGGACAAACCAAUUUAGCCCAAUAUAAGAGCCAUCCCGGCUAAUACGGGACAGUUGGCAACCCUAUUUGACGUUUUCAAAUUAAACUCUCAUUUAACGUGUGAAAUAGUGUUAUUUGACGCGUGUAUUUUUUUGACCCGCAAAGACUCAAACUGGGUUCCAUUCUGUAAAGCCUCGUUCACUUCAAAUCCAUUUGUUUUGCACAUCCAAUUCAAAACAUAUUUUUUCCUGCAGUCUGAACAGUCAAAUAGCACAUGGAAUAGGAUAUUUUAAGCUGCCUUCCUGGUGGUUUGAAGUCAGAUACAAAUAGGAUUACUGGCCAUGUGACUUGUUGAAUGGUCAAAUCUGAAGUGUACUUUUGUAUAUUAUCUACCUCACUUGCUUUGGCAAUGUUAACAUGUGUUUCCCAUGUCAAUAAAGCCCCUUGAAUUGAGACAAAAAGUGAGUAAAAAACACACAAAAAAUGUUCAGAACUACAAAUGAACUUUCUUCUGUCGAUUUUGGGUUGUAUAAUGUCACAAUUCCAACCCUCCUCCUUGAUCCGGGCUUGGGACCGGCAAAAGUGACCCGAAAGAGACACUGGCGGAGUUAGUUUUUUUUAUUGGAUUAUUUACUUUAUAUUUUUAGUUUAGUUUUAUACAUUUACAUCCCGCACUGAAUGUAAACCAGGGCGGAAAUCAGUUCCGGCGGCUUCGCGCAUGCGCGAUUCAUUUUCAGUCUGGACGCGGAGGGGUGAACAUCUCCUCUGACUGCUGCGAGAGGACUGGGCCGCAUGUGAGUGCUUUGGGACGGUGUGGGGCCCACGGCAGCACCCGCUGCUCGUUGAGAAGAGUAAGAACGAUACGUGCUUUCACGUCAGUCUCCAAUAACACCAGAAAAAGUCGCUAGAUUUGUCGCUAGUCGCUUUUUUGAAAAAGUCUCGCUAGAGGGGUCUGAAUACUCGCUAAAUAUAGCGACAAAGUCGCUAAGUUGGCAACACUGCCCACAUUAGCUAAACAUGAAUAUACUAUAACCACAUUUCAUAUGCGUGUAUUACUAGCACAGAUGUAAACAUAAUCAGAUAAGAGAGAUCGGUUCCCAAUUUAGCCUUAACAUUAAGGUCUAACGUUAACUUACACAGCGACAACUGCCUUGUUCAGGGGCAGAACGACAGAUGUUUACCUUGUCAGCCCGGGGAUUUGAUGUCGUUUACCGGCCCAACGCUGUAACCCACAAGGCUACUUGCCUCUCCUGAAACCACCUACUUUGGCCGAGAACCAAUCAACAGAAUCAGGGCAGAACCUUCAGUGGACCAGCAUGGGUUGAAGGGGGGUUCAAUAUGUCUGGUUGUUCCAGAACCUCCUGAGAUGAUCAAAGGACUUCAAUGGAGGAAGGACAGUGAUGUAAUAUUUGGAGACAAAGAGAUCUCUCCUAAAUACAAGGAUAAGGUGGACUAUAACAAUGAUAACCAUUCUCUGUGUAUUAAGAAUCUAAUGGAAACUGACAGUGGAAUUUACAUGGUAAACUACAGGAAACAUUGGAAACAAUCAACUACUACAUAUAGACUGUUAGUGGAGGAUCAUGUUCCCAAACCAGUCAUGGAUGUCACAUCUCUCAACACAAGUGUGGGACUCUGUGAUGUCACAGUGAACUGUUCAGUUAAAGAUGGCUGGAUGUUGUCUGUCUGUGACAGCGGUCAGUGUACACUGUCACAACAGUCUCCGUCACUAACCGGUGGUAACAUGACCAUCUCCGUAUUGACUGGAAGGAUCCAAUGCACCAGCAGCAACCACGUCAGCACACAGACCAUCUCUCAACCCAUGGAGGACUGUAGUGGUAAUGUGAAAGCCUCAGUGUUACCAGUUGGCACCAUUGUGGGCUGUGUUACUGGUAUAUUACUCCUAGUUGCUGUGUUACUUGGUGUUGGAUACAUCAAACAUACCAGAAGACAGAAAAUCCCUAAAGAACAAAGUCCACUAGAAGAGGUCAUUGUUCCAAGAGUUUACAACUCAGUGAAGACCUCACCAGGGAGAGAAGAACCACAGCAUCUCCUUACCAGAACCACAGCCCUGUCCUGACCAGAACCACAGCACUCUCCUGUCCAGAACCACAUCACUCUCCUGUCCAGAACCACAUAUAUAUACAUUUUUAUAUUCCAUUUCAUGGAAGUUUCUUUAUCCAUGAAAUGAAGUGGGUGGAGAACAAACCCCUCUUCACAUUGUUACAGAUAGAAUUGAACCAUUAUUUUGAAAUGAUCAGUAAAAGUGGAAAUACAAAAAAGCAAUAUGUAUCAUAAAAUGUUUUGACAAACUGAAAAUGUAUCUUGACAUGUAGUACCCGUCUGUUAGUUCUUCUCACUGGUGGAUUUGGUGGUAUCCUGUAUAGCUUCCUGCAUUUACUCCCAGCAAGCACAAAACCCUUCAUAGAGUUGGUCCAUACUGACUGUCUCUGUCAUUUUGAGGGAAAACACCUGCUCCAGAUCAGUGAAGGAGAGGUUUUGUUGCAUGUUUAUCCAUAUUUCGUUGAUAUGCCAAACCGAGAGAACAACAACAGAAAUUACUUUGCAGGAAUUGGCGUGUUUACUGUGAUUUGAUGAAUAUACGGGACAAGGGAGGUCCCGUAUGGGACAAACCAAUUUAGCCCAAUAUAAGAGCCAUCCCGGCUAAUACGGGACAGUUGGCAACCCUAUUUGACGUUUUCAAAUUAAACUCUCAUUUAACGUGUGAAAUAGUGUUAUUUGACGCGUGUAUUUUUUUGACCCGCAAAGACUCAAACUGGGUUCCAUUCUGUAAAGCCUCGUUCACUUCAAAUCCAUUUGUUUUGCACAUCCAAUUCAAAACAUAUUUUUUCCUGCAGUCUGAACAGUCAAAUAGCACAUGGAAUAGGAUAUUUUAAGCUGCCUUCCUGGUGGUUUGAAGUCAGAUACAAAUAGGAUUACUGGCCAUGUGACUUGUUGAAUGGUCAAAUCUGAAGUGUACUUUUGUAUAUUAUCUACCUCACUUGCUUUGGCAAUGUUAACAUGUGUUUCCCAUGUCAAUAAAGCCCCUUGAAUUGAGACAAAAAGUGAGUAAAAAACACACAAAAAAUGUUCAGAACUACAAAUGAACUUUCUUCUGUCGAUUUUGGGUUGUAUAAUGUCACAAUUCCAACCCUCCUCCUUGAUCCGGGCUUGGGACCGGCAAAAGUGACCCGAAAGAGACACUGGCGGAGUUAGUUUUUUUUAUUGGAUUAUUUACUUUAUAUUUUUAGUUUAGUUUUAUACAUUUACAUCCCGCACUGAAUGUAAACCAGGGCGGAAAUCAGUUCCGGCGGCUUCGCGCAUGCGCGAUUCAUUUUCAGUCUGGACGCGGAGGGGUGAACAUCUCCUCUGACUGCUGCGAGAGGACUGGGCCGCAUGUGAGUGCUUUGGGACGGUGUGGGGCCCACGGCAGCACCCGCUGCUCGUUGAGAAGAGUAAGAACGAUACGUGCUUUCACGUCAGUCUCCAAUAACACCAGAAAAAGUCGCUAGAUUUGUCGCUAGUCGCUUUU
Molecule: non-coding RNA, 5534 nt
Organism: Oncorhynchus mykiss (rainbow trout)
Lineage: Eukaryota; Metazoa; Chordata; Actinopteri; Salmoniformes; Salmonidae
Source: RefSeq, a predicted model, not a curated record